RNAcentral lists this ribosomal RNA (363 nucleotides) under Parabacteroides distasonis. Its description in RNAcentral is "bacterial SSU rRNA". It matches the Rfam family "Bacterial small subunit ribosomal RNA", at positions 1 to 352 of the family's 1533-position model. Lineage: Bacteria; Pseudomonadati; Bacteroidota; Bacteroidia; Bacteroidales; Tannerellaceae. The record is from RNAcentral.
CAAUUUAAACAACGAAGAGUUUGAUCCUGGCUCAGGAUGAACGCUAGCGACAGGCUUAACACAUGCAAGUCGAGGGGCAGCGGGGGUAGCAAUACCCGCCGGCGACCGGCGCACGGGUGAGUAACGCGUAUGCAACUUACCUAUCAGAGGGGGAUAACCCGGCGAAAGUCGGACUAAUACCGCAUGAAGCAGGGAUCCCGCAUGGGAAUAUUUGCUAAAGAUUCAUCGCUGAUAGAUAGGCAUGCGUUCCAUUAGGCAGUUGGCGGGGUAACGGCCCACCAAACCGACGAUGGAUAGGGGUUCUGAGAGGAAGGUCCCCCACAUUGGUACUGAGACACGGACCAAACUCCUACGGGAGGCAGC